RNAcentral lists this ribosomal RNA (253 nucleotides) under uncultured bacterium. Its description in RNAcentral is "partial 16S ribosomal RNA". It matches the Rfam family "Bacterial small subunit ribosomal RNA", at positions 524 to 776 of the family's 1533-position model. The record is from RNAcentral.
UACGUAGGGGGCAAGCGUUGUCCGGAAUCAUUGGGCGUAAAGCGCGCGUAGGCGGCCCGGUGAGUCCGUUGUAAAAGUCAAAGGCUCAACCUUUGAAAGCCGAUGGAUACUGCCGGGCUAGAAUCCGGAAGAGGCGAGUGGAAUUCCUGGUGUAGCGGUGGAAUGCGCAGAUAUCAGGAGGAACACCAACAGCGAAGGCAGCUCGCUGGGACGGUAUUGACGCUGAGACGCGAAAGCGUGGGGAGCAAACAGG